UAGGGAAGUCUUCCACAAUGGGCGGAAAGCCUGAUGGAGCAACGCCGCGUGUGUGAUGAAGGGUUUCGGCUCGUAAAACACUGUUGUAAGAGAAGAAUGACAUUGAGAGUAACUGUUCAAUGUGUGACGGUAUCUUACCAGAAAGGAACGGCUAAAUACGUGCCAG
Molecule: ribosomal RNA, 166 nt
Filed under: uncultured bacterium
Lineage: Bacteria
Description: partial 16S rRNA
Rfam family: Bacterial small subunit ribosomal RNA
Source: RNAcentral